Molecule: ribosomal RNA, 253 nt
Filed under: uncultured bacterium
Lineage: Bacteria
Description: partial 16S ribosomal RNA
Rfam family: Bacterial small subunit ribosomal RNA
Source: RNAcentral
UACGUAGGGGGCAAGCGUUGUCCGGAUUUAUUGGGCGUAAAGAGCGUGUAGGCGGCCUGGAAGGUCCGUUGUGAAAACUCGAGGCUCAACCUCGAGACGCCGGUUGAAACCAUCUGGCUAGAGUCCGGAAGAGGAGAGUGGAAUUCCUGGUGUAGCGGUGAAAUGCGCAGAUAUCAGGAAGAACACCCGUGGCUAAGGCGGCUCUCUAGUACGGUACUGACGCUGAGACGCGAAAGCGUGGGGAGCGAACAGG